Molecule: ribosomal RNA, 305 nt
Filed under: uncultured bacterium
Lineage: Bacteria
Description: bacterial SSU rRNA
Rfam family: Bacterial small subunit ribosomal RNA
Source: RNAcentral
CGCCUACGGGAGGCAGCAGUGGGGGAUAUUGGACAAUGGGGGGAACCCUGAUCCAGCGACGCCGCGUGAGUGAAGAAGUAUUUCGGUAUGUAAAGCUCUGUCAGCAGGGAAGAAAGCAAUGACGGUACCUGACCAAGAAGCCCCGGCUAACUACGUGCCAGCAGCCGCGGUAAUACGUAGGGGGCAAGCGUUAUCCGGAAUUACUGGGUGUAAAGGGAGCGUAGACGGCUGUGCAAGUCUGAAGUGAAAUGCCGGGGCCCAACCCCGGAACUGCUUUGGAAACUGUACAGCUAGAGUGCAGGAGG